This is a transfer RNA of Macrophomina phaseolina MS6, 108 nucleotides long. It matches the Rfam family "tRNA". Rfam says of the family: Transfer RNA (tRNA) molecules are approximately 80 nucleotides in length. Their secondary structure includes four short double-helical elements and three loops (D, anti-codon, and T loops). The record is from Rfam. Lineage: Eukaryota; Fungi; Ascomycota; Dothideomycetes; Botryosphaeriales; Botryosphaeriaceae.
GGUCGCUUAGCUCAGUUGGUUAGAGCGUGGUGCUAAUAGCCUGGCAGUCCACUUACAGUGGACUAAUAGUUAACGCCAAGGUCGCGAGUUCGACCCUCGUAGUGACCA